UACAGAGGGUGCAAGCGUUGUUCGGAAUUAUUGGGCGUAAAGAGCUCGUAGGCGGUUUGUUGCGUCGGCUGUGAAAUCCCGAGGCUCAACCUCGGGUCUGCAGUCGAUACGAGCAGGCUAGAGUUCGGUAGGGGAGACUGGAAUUCCUGGUGUAGCGGUGAAAUGCGCAGAUAUCAGGAGGAACACCGGUGGCGAAGGCGGGUCUCUGGGCCGAUACUGACGCUGAGGAGCGAAAGCGUGGGGAGCGAACAGG
Molecule: ribosomal RNA, 253 nt
Filed under: uncultured bacterium
Lineage: Bacteria
Description: partial 16S ribosomal RNA
Rfam family: Bacterial small subunit ribosomal RNA
Source: RNAcentral